AUGUCGGAGGUGACUUGGAGUCUGCUGCAGCACUGGGGCGCCAGUUUUAGGAGAGGCGCGGACUUCGACUCUUGGGGCUAACUGGUGGAGGCGAUAGAUGGGAUCAGAUAUUCACAAGACAUCUACAAAAAGAGGCCCAAGCUCAACACAAUAAUUCUGAAUUUACAGAAGAACAAAAGAAAACCAUAGGCAAAAUUGCAACAUGCUUGGAAUUGCAAAGUGCAGCUUUACAGUCCACACAGUCUCAAGAAGAAUUUAAACCGGAGGACCCGAAGAAACUAGAAGCAAUCCUAAAGAAUAUUCUUACAUAUAAUAAAGAAUUCCCAUUUGAUGUUCAGCCUGUCCCAUUAAGAAGAAUUUUGGCACCUGGUGAAGAAGAGAAUUUGGAAUUUGAAGAAGAUGAAGAAGAGGGUGGUGCUGGAGCAGGGUCUCCUGAUUCUUUCCCGCUAGAGUUCCCAAGGUUGCCAAGGUUGCCAUUGGAACCAGGAAUGACAUUACUCACUAUCAGAAUUGAGAAAAUUGGUUUGAAAGAUGCUGGGCAGUGCAUCGAUCCCUAUAUUACAGUUAGUAUAAAGGAUCUGAAUGGCAUAGACUUAACUCCUAUGCAAGAUACUCCUGUGGCUUCAAGAAAAGAAGACACAUACAUUCAUUUUAAUGUGGACAUUGAGCUCCAGAAACAUGUUGAAAAAUUAAUCAAAGGUGCAGCUCUCUUCUUUGAACUCAAACACUACAAGCCUAAAAAAAGGUUCACCAGCACCAAGUGUUUUGCUUUCAUGGAGAUGGAUGAAAUUAAACCUGGGUCAAUUGUAAUAGAACUAUACAAGAAACCCACUGACUUUAAAAGAAACAAAUUGCAAUUAUUGACCAAGAAACUACUUUAUUUUCAUCUACAUCAAACUUUGCACAAGGAAUGAUCCUGACAUGAUGAACCUGGAACUUCUGUGAAUUUUACCACUCAGUAGAAACCAUCAUAGCUCUGUGUAGCGUAUUCACCCUUUAACAGGCAGGAAGCAAGCCAUACACAGACCAGUAGGCCAGAGGGAGUCCAGUGCAAAGCUGUACCACAGAAUUCAAAGUCCAGCACAUUACUGAUGUAUAGGACUCCUUUGGAUACAGGUUUAUUGUAGAUUUUGAACAUGUUUUUACUUUUCUAUUAAUUGUGCAAUUAAUAGUCUAUUUUCUAAUUUACCACUACUCCUACCCUGCUUCCUGGAGCAAUACUGUUGUGGGUAGGACGUGCUCAUCUUCAAACUUAAUACAGCAAUAAGCAUGUG
Molecule: RNA transcript, 1274 nt
Organism: Mandrillus leucophaeus (drill)
Lineage: Eukaryota; Metazoa; Chordata; Mammalia; Primates; Cercopithecidae
Gene name: axin interactor, dorsalization-associated protein pseudogene
Exons: 1
Source: RefSeq, a predicted model, not a curated record